AUGCUUUUGUUAUCUCUGUCUGAACAUUUUCUUAUUACCCUUUCAGUGCCUGCUCUCAUGAAGAUGAAUGUGUCCUGUUCGUCAAUGCCGGUGGGUAUAUCUGAGAAAACUGCAAAGGAAGCAGAAGACAAUGUGCUCCCGAGAGAGAUGUACAAUAUUCAAUACUCUUAUGUCCCGCACAAUGCACCGCACAAGGUCCCUGCUCCCUUCCCUGCUGCAGUGAGGAGACGAGAGAGGAGAUUGCUGGAUCUGGAAAUGGAGGCCAGCACCACCUACAGGACAAGAGCGCCAGUCCUCUCCGACUCUUCAAGGUCUCUCAUGCUCUGCUCUUGCUCUGGCUGA
This 342-nucleotide ribosomal RNA is filed under the name Triticum aestivum (bread wheat). RNAcentral's name for it is "partial small subunit ribosomal RNA". Lineage: Eukaryota; Viridiplantae; Streptophyta; Magnoliopsida; Poales; Poaceae. The record is from RNAcentral.